GAUGAACGCUAGCGGCAGGCUUAAUACAUGCAAGUCGAGGGGCAGCGGGGUAGCAAUACCGCCGGCGACCGGCAAACGGGUGCGGAACACGUACAGAACCUUCCUUUAAGCGGGGGAUAGCCCGGAGAAAUCCGGAUUAAUACCCAUAGUAAUACUGGUUGGCAUCAACUGGUAUUUAAAGAUUUAUCACUUAAAGAUGGCUGUGCGGCUGAUUAGGUAGUUGGUGUAGGUAACGGCUCACCAAGCCUUCGAUCAGUAACUGGUGUGAGAGCACGACCAGUCGCACGGGCACUGAGACACGGGCCCGACUCCUACGGGAGGCAGCAGUAAGGAAUAUUGGGCAAUGGACGCAAGUCUGACCCAGCCAU
This 368-nucleotide ribosomal RNA is filed under the name uncultured bacterium. RNAcentral describes it as "bacterial SSU rRNA". It matches the Rfam family "Bacterial small subunit ribosomal RNA", at positions 28 to 395 of the family's 1533-position model. The record is from RNAcentral.